AUUGAACGCUGGCGGCAUGCCUUACACAUGCAAGUCGAACGGUAACAGGUCUUCGGACGCUGACGAGUGGCGAACGGGUGAGUAAUACAUCGGAACGUGCCUAGUAGUGGGGGAUAACUACUCGAAAGAGUGGCUGAUACCGCAUGAGAUCUACGGAUGAAAGCAGGGGAUCGCAAGACCUUGUGCUACUAGAGCGGCCGAUGGCAGAUUAGGUAGUUGGUGGGAUAAAAGCUUACCAAGCCGACGAUCUGUAGCUGGUCUGAGAGGACGAUCAGCCACACUGGGACUGAGACACGGCCCAGACUCCGACGGGAGGCAGCAGUGGGGAAUUUUGGACAAUGGGCGAAAGCCUGAUCCAGCAAUGCCGCGUGCAGGAUGAAGGCCUUCGGGUUGUAAACUGCUUUUGUACGGAACGAAAAGCCCUGGGUUAAUACCCUGGGGUCAUGACGGUACCGUAAGAAUAAGCACCGGCUAACUACGUGCCAGCCGCCGCCGUAA
RNAcentral lists this ribosomal RNA (498 nucleotides) under uncultured bacterium. Its description in RNAcentral is "partial 16S ribosomal RNA". It matches the Rfam family "Bacterial small subunit ribosomal RNA", at positions 30 to 523 of the family's 1533-position model. The record is from RNAcentral.